UACGUAGGUGGCGAGCGUUGUCCGGAAUUACUGGGUGUAAAGGGCGUGUAGGCGGGGAGGCAAGUCAGAUGUGAAAUCCCGAGGCUCAACUUCGGAGCUGCAUCUGAAACUGUUUUUCUUGAGUACUGGAGAGGAAAGUGGAAUUCCUAGUGUAGCGGUGAAAUGCGUAGAGAUUAGGAGGAACACCAGUGGCGAAGGCGGCUUUCUGGACAGUAACUGACGCUGAGGCGCGAAAGCGUGGGGAGCAAACAGGAUUAGAUACCCUGGUAGUCCACGCCGUAAACGAUGGAUACUAGGUGUGGGAGGUAUCGACCCCUUCCGUGCCGGAGUUAACACAAUAAGUAUCCCACCUGGGGAGUACGGCCGCAAGGCUGAA
RNAcentral lists this ribosomal RNA (376 nucleotides) under uncultured bacterium. RNAcentral's name for it is "bacterial SSU rRNA". It matches the Rfam family "Bacterial small subunit ribosomal RNA", at positions 524 to 898 of the family's 1533-position model. The record is from RNAcentral.